Neodiprion fabricii is the source of this 388-nucleotide long non-coding RNA. RefSeq lists it as uncharacterized. The record is from RefSeq and is a predicted model, not a curated record. The transcript has 2 exons. NCBI's taxonomy places the organism in Eukaryota, Metazoa, Arthropoda, Insecta, Hymenoptera, Diprionidae.
CGCGAGAUAGCGCCGCAGUUGUAUUGCAGAUUCUUCCUUUUUAAAGCGGUGUAACGCGAACUGCACGGCUUUUACUCGCGUUUUUCAUAUUAUAUAUCGCCGUUGAUCACGCGCAGGUGUUAAUAUUGAAUUUCUCAUCGUUCAAUUAACGCUCACCUGUGAAUGUAAUCGGCCGUGUGAAGGGGAAAGUCGAAAUUAACGACGUGCUUAACCGUCGUGGUGUCGAGUCCUCUGGAACAAGCAUCAGUCGUAACGAGAACAGUGGUGUGACCCCUUUGAAAUUCAGCAAAUCUAUCUAACCGUACUCUCGCUGGUAAGGUGCCGUGAGUGUAGGAGCAGUUCACACUCAUUUCGCUCAAGAACAGGUAUAACCAUUCGCAAGACUUUA